AACAAUUAAGCUAUUUAAGCAUUUCAUUUACACAGAAAAAACCCCUACAUAAAGC
This 55-nucleotide transfer RNA is filed under the name Parachtes riberai. RNAcentral's name for it is "tRNA-Val". The record is from RNAcentral. Lineage: Eukaryota; Metazoa; Arthropoda; Arachnida; Araneae; Dysderidae.